CACUCAGGUGGCCUAGUGGUUAGAGCAUCUACCUUGGAUGUAGGAGGUCGUGGGUUAGAUCCCCAGUUGAGUCA
Non-coding RNA from Potamilus streckersoni, 74 nucleotides. Lineage: Eukaryota; Metazoa; Mollusca; Bivalvia; Unionida; Unionidae. The record is from the annotation of a GenBank genome assembly.